This 19561-nucleotide long non-coding RNA is filed under the name Homo sapiens (human). RNAcentral's name for it is "HSALNT0336762". The record is from RNAcentral. Lineage: Eukaryota; Metazoa; Chordata; Mammalia; Primates; Hominidae.
UAAUGAAAUAAUUAUACAACCCACCAUAAUGUAGAAUCAGUGGGAGAUCUCAGCUUGUUUUUCUGCAACUAGACAGGUCUCCUGUGGGGGUGAUGUGAGACAGUGACAGAUCAUCAGGCAUUUGAUUCUCAUAAGGAGCAUGCAACCUAGAUGCCUUCUAUGCACGGUUCACAGUGGGGUUCACGCUUCCAUGAGAACCUAAUGCCACUGCUGAUCUGACAGGAGGUAGAGGUUACUCACAUUACUCAGGGGUAAUGUGAGCAGUGGGGAGCAGUUAUAAAUACAGAUGAAGCACACUGCUCACUUCCUGCUGUGCGGACUGGUUCCUAACAGGCCAAGGACAGGUACUGGUCUGUGGCCCAGGGGUAGAGAACCCUUGUUAUUCAACAUGGAGACUCCUACAAAGCUGAUGAAGUCUGGACUGGGAGGGAGAUAGUCGAGGGGGCAGUUCCCAGAAAAGACGUGCUCUUAGGCAGACAAGAAAUUGUUUACUACAAUUAAUAAUAACUUUGAAAUUAAUUAUAUAUAUUCCACUUGCAAAAUGAUUCAAUGAAGCUAAUAGUAAUACUAUUCUAUAUUUUAUAAGACUAUAUAUGUUACUUCAUAUUAAUCAGAAUCACAACUACCCAAUGCAGUAAAGCAUCAGGUGUAUCUGUUCCCAUUUUUAUAGAUGAUGAAACCAAUGUGCAGAGAGGUUAUGCAGUUUGCCCAAGGACACACAGCUGGAAACAACAUUCUGGAUUAAUUUUAAGUGAAAAUACCCUGGAGGCACACUGAAUUUUCAGACGUGGACAGCUGAUCAUCUGAGGAAGCUGCCGCAUUUCCAGUUCUCUUUUGGUUGAGAGAAAGGCCAUUCUUCAUGCUCUUCUGUUCUUUUGAUUUCCUAUUGGCAUCUCCGUUUCCCUCCAUACCUUUCAACAUUCAAGCCAGAUGCCAAUUGUCUGUGUGAAAACACACUGCAUCUCAAAUAUACCAAGAUGCCUUAAUAUUUGACCAUAUGUGAAUAUUCCAGUAAACUCCUGGGACUUAUGUUCCAGUGUCAGUGCUGAACAACAGGAAGACUGUAAAUACCAUCAGCUAACCAGAAGACUCACAUAUGCCUCAUGUUUAUAAAUGCCGAUAGAUGUAGUGCGUUCUAAAUUUGAAUUUUUGGUGCAAGAGAGGGGAUGGGUGCUCUCUCCAUGGAGGCAGUGCAGCUUGCAAACAUACAAAUGAAUGGGACCUCCUCAGGUUGCUGCUGAUCAUGGCAAUCAGUUAUUGUGGAGAGACUUGCAAACAAGGAACAUCUCUUGAGAUGAACUCUGAAAGAAAAGAAGAAAAGAAUGUGUCCAUGGUAGCCAACCCUAUAUUAAAUAAAGUUUGAACUAACUAUAUUAACUGGGCCAGAAAAAUUCGCCUGAAGCUGGACAGGGUGGGAUUAAAUUCCAAGACCUUAAGCAAAACACUUCAAAGGACAUAGGAUGAAUUUUGAGCAAUAUCUUUAUCUUUGCCACCCACCGCAGUCCCCAGCCUCCUGCGAUGCUGGCCUCGUCGUUGAAAAAACACAAAAGCAAACCACUUCAGGAGGAUUUACUAGAUGCCAAGCUUUGUUUUGGACCUGGUGAGAGUUAAGAAGAUGAAAUAAACAAGCCCUUUGUUCUCAAGUUGCCCAGUGAUUUAGUAUGAGAAUCUUUAUUGUCGUAAAAGUGCCUAACAAUGCUAGGCAGGAAGGCAGGAAGCAGGAACUGAGGGCAAUGUGUCCUUGGAAUGGCCCAGAGAAGAGGCUGAGACUCUUACCUUGACUCUGAGCUGACUUAAAGGGUCUGGUAUAAUGGCAGUUCUUUUACUGAACUGCACUCUCUUCUAGUAAGUAUAAAAAAGUUCUACUGGCAAUAAUAAUAGCAAACAUGUAUCAGGUUCUUACUGUGCUAAGCACUUUAAUUCUGUUAUUGGACUUUCAAAACAACUUACUGAGGAUGAUACCAUUACUUUUCCUGUAUUACAGCAGAGGGAACUGAGGUUUAGAGAGAGAAAAUAAUUUGCCAAAGUCAUAUAAUUGUUGUCUUAUAUAAUUGUUCAUCCCAUAGAGAAUGGCAUUUUCAUUUCUACAGAGAUCAGAGUGUGUUGUUUUCUAUUUCCUGUCUCAAAUGUGUUACUCCUCAUCUCUGCCAAAGCAGGCUCUAUUUAUCCUGCAAGAACUGUGGAACCUCCUCGACUUCCAUCGUAAACUCUUCCUGGGACCCAGUGACUUCUCUUCCCACAGCAUACUUGGAGAAUUUAUGCCUGCCUCAUGUAUUUGGCAAUUGAUCAUAAAUGGUCCUACGCUAAUUCUCAUUUGUCAUAUGAUAUUGUUUAAUUUUGUUUAAUCUUUCCAUCCAGAUUGUAAACUCCUUCUUGUUUCUGGCUGUGUCUAAAGGAUUAAAAGUGAGUCUUUUAUACUAUUCACCACAAUGCACAAUUGAGUUGUCUUUGUAUUUAUUUGAGUUAAAGUUGUAUAGGUUAUAUAUUGCUGCUUAACAAAUUUCCACAGACAUAGUGGCUUAAAACAACACACAUAUAUUUCUGUAAUUACAAUUCUGUAGGUCAGGUGUUGGGCAUGUCUUAACUGGUCCUCUUCAAAGUUGCAAUCAACGUGUUAGUUGAGGCUCAGUUCUCAUCUGGAGGCUCAAGUGGAGAUGGUUCUGCUUCCAAACUCACUUAGGUUGUUGGCAAAAGUCAUUUCCUUGUGGUUGUAAGACUGAGGGCUCCAGCUUCUUGCUAGCUAUCAGAUUAAGCCUUUCUCAGCAAUUAUUGGCUGCCCCUUCCACCCCAGGUCCAUGCUACAAGGUUGUCUCUCAUAUGCCUUUUUACAAAAUGGCAAUUUUCUUCUUCAAGACAGCUACUGAGAGAGAGUCUUUGGAGCAAAUUUGCUGGUAAGAUGGAGUCUUACAUAACAUAAUGUCAUAAUGAGAGUGACUUCCUAUCUCCUUUGCUAUAUUCUGUUGAUUGGAAGCAAGUCACAAGUCUUACCUAAUCUGAAGGAGAUGGGGUUAUACAAGGGCAUGAACAACAAGAAUCUGGGGUCAUGGGGGGACCACCUUGGAGCCUAUCCACCACAGAAAUGAAAGAAGCAAGAAAUGUACAAAGAUUUGAGACAAUUAUAUUUCACUUAGGAAAUUAAAAAUAGCACUUACAAAUUUAGAAAACUGAUUCUGAUCUCCUUGUUUCAACUACUAAAUAAUCACCAUCAAAAUUUGAAUAAUCUUGGCUAAACAGCAGGUUUGGCUUGUGGAGAUGGAGCCCAGGAGAUAAAGCAUCAACUAGGAGGUGUGUAUUGAGGGAGAUAACUUGCUAUGAAUAGUCGCCGUUCAAAGUGAUGUAGUCAACUCAAGCUUUACUCUUGCCGGAGCUGAGAUACAAGGCCAACUAGUCAGGAGUGGGUGGCAAGAAACUGGGUGUACUAGGACUGGGGUUCAGUAAGCCUUUCAGAGAGAGAAACUGGAAAGUCCAGGUAGUUGGUCAAGAACCCAACCUGGAGGAACAGGAAUAUAGCCUCUUGAAGGAUUCAGUCACUAUCAGGAAGCUGAGGUUGAGCCACAGCUGUGAAGAAUGGAUGGACCAACAUACAGGUGGGCCCAGUUAAUGUAGGAUUGUGGCUCAGUGGGCCUGUCCCCAUUUAUAGGACUAUCAUUUGGCUGCACCUGUGGACAGAGGGGAAGCUCUUAAUGUUCUCCUUGUAGAAGACCUCACUGAAGGAAGGGUCUAAGAAUUAUUGCAUGACAUUUAGGUUCUAAUUCCAUAUAGGUCAAAUUUGCAGGAAGCAGUACAUAUUUACAUUUUGUUUUUUCCUAAAUAUGAGACACAUUUACUUAUUUAUAAGAUUUCAUUUUUAUGCCUUCCUUUCUCUUCUUCUCCCAUUGUUUAAAGACCUUAAUCUUCAUGAAAACCCUUAGAUUUCUAUCGAGUUCUUCUUUUUUCAUUGAAACCUAAUGAUAAAGAUAUUAUCCUAUUGAUGGGACAAAUUGGAUCAGAUAUGCUUUUCUGCAUAUUGCUUAUUUGUCAUACACCUUCCUAUGCCUUUUUAAAUAAUACAUGUUUUAUGGGGCCUUUCUCCUGUGACUCAUUUUUGGAGCUGAUCCGAUAAGGAGUUAUUCUCCAGACGUGGCACCACUGACCCUCAUUUCAAACUACAUUUUUAAUUUAUUUUAAAAAAGAUAUUUCAUUCACAGAAUCCCCACUGAGCUUUUUAUUGUGAAAAAUUAGGACCCGUAAAUCAUCCCCCUCAGAACAUUAUAAAUUUUAUACAAUUGAAACAUUCCAUGGACUGAGCUUGGCACUUUGAUGAAAUCACUCCUUUGCUUCUCUUAAUUUAUGAGCUUUCUUCAUUCUCCUCCCUCCUGCUCCAUCAUCACCUUGCCCUCCCAGCAAGAGACGGGGUGGUAUCAUGCCUUUAAAUUGCUCACUGGGGUUUAUUGAGUGUAAUUUGUGAGUGAAUUUAUAUGAACCUACAAUAUUGCAAUUUAUCCAAAAUUAUGAACAAUAAAACUUUUCAUUUUUCUGGCAGUCAGAAGGGACGUGGGUUGAUCACGCAGGAGGUAGCUCAACAUGGUGCACUGGGGAAGAACCAAGUACCUGGAAGCCAGAUGAUGCGGGGUAGAGGCACAGCUCCCCCAGUUGUUCGGAGACGGAGGCCUCGGUUUCCUCAGAGCAUGCAUGAUCUUUAAGAUUGUUUUUUUUUUUUAGCUCUCAUGCAUUUUGAUUCUAUGGAUUGAGAUGGUUUUUGCCUUGUUGCUUCUUUUUAAAGGGUAAUUAUGAAAACCAACAUGAUGUAUCUUAAAAGUUUGAUUUUCAAUAUGGAGAGUUAGCUUUCAUUUUUUAGGGGAAAGAAGGUAUGAGAGUAAGGGGAAAGCACAACCAUGUAAAAGAGCAAAGUACUCCUGAUUCUUGUCUGUGAGGUUUGCACUGGAUUAUAAGGUCCUUGAAACCAGGGGCUGUGUAUUUAACUUUGAGGCCCUGGCUCCCAGUACAGAGAAACUGAUACCUGGGUUUCUGAUAAAAGUGUUGAAUUAAUAUGGAAAAAUCCAAAGUCGGGUUACUCCCACAAAUCCAAAUGCCUGGAAUAGUGCCAGACCCACGGAAGGUGCUCAAUACAUAAUUGUUUGAUAUCCAACAGAUGGGCUACUGGCCAUAAUUGGGAUCUUGGUGUUUCCGUUUCCACUCCUGGUCCAUGUGACAUCCUUAUUUUUUAUAUCUUAAUGUUUUUUUGACUAGGAUUCCAGUUGGAUUUUUUUUUUUUUUGAUUGAGUCUCAUUCUGUCACCCAGGCUGGAGUGCAGUGGUAUGAUCUCAGCUCACUGCAACCUCUGCCUCCUGGGUUCAAGUGAUUCUCCUGCCUCAGCCUCCCAAGUAGCUGGGAUUACAGGCGCCUGCCACCAUGCCUGGCUAAUAUUUUGUAUUUUUAGUAGAGACAGGGUUUCACCAUAUUGGCCAGGCUGGUUUCGAACUCCUGGCCUCAAGUGAUCUGCCUGCCUCGGCCUCCCAAAGUGCUAGGAUUACAGGAGUGAGUCACCACACCCAGCCUCCAGAUGGAUCUUUUAAGAAAUUGCUAGCUUUUUGGCCUCACUACUUCUCGCGCUGUUGGAAAGGGUUUUGCUGCUGCAGAAAUAGGCUAGAAUUCGAAGAUAGAUGUUGUAUGGCAAAGUGGCUGAGCUUCAGCUCUGGAGAGAGACUUGGGUUUGAAUGCGGCCUCUAUAACAUAAGCUCUGUGACCUUUGGUGGAAUAUUUUCCUCCUGCUAAGCUCUACUUUACUUCUCUGUAGAAUGGGGGAUAAUAAUUAUACUUAUUUCUUAGGGUAGAAGUGAGGACUCAAAGCAGCUAUCCAUAUAAAGAGCUUAGCCCAGGGCUGGCAUAUAUUAAGUAUUCAAUACAUGUUACCUAUGACUUGAAUUUAAUUAUUAUUAGGAGUAUUGGUGUAUACAUCAGUAAUUGCCACAGUUUUUACUUUUGCAUUAAAAUUCAGAUUCUGGCCACUGCACUCCAGCAUGCGUAACAGAGAGUGACCUCUCUCUCUCAAAAAAAAAAAAAAAAAAAAUCAGACUCUGUGGGGACACUAUGAUUAUUGUCCUAUAUACAAUUUAUUUAGUUAACAACUUUUUCUUUAGCUUUUCAGGAUAUAUUUUGAGAUCCUUGUGUUAAAAGAAAAGAGUAUCACUAAUAUUAUUAACAGAACCUCACCAUUUUGGAUAGAGAGCGUUGCUUGGAUUUCUAAUUACUUCUAAGUGUAGUUUUAUUUAAUUUCAGUCCUUUAGAAAAAAAAUGAGAAUAUAGUGCUGAAGCAUCUGGUAUUUAUGUUUUUUCACAAGAUGGAAAAUUUCCUUCCUGACAGUUGUUGGUUAUGACUUUGCCUAUGUGCAAUUAUAAUACAGCACACUACUGUUUUAAGAAGAGUAUCAUUAGCGUCAGAAUGCAAAACAGUCUGAAAUACUCGAAAAUCAAGCUGAAGCCAAUUCCCUUUUCUUUGACCUGCUUGCAGGAUACCCUGACAAGGUAUGAACUGGAGUAUGUGUCUUGGAACUAUUUACCCCUUAAAUAUGAAAAAUGUAAAUAAGCGAUGGAGUUUGGGGUGACAGAGGAUCUAAAGUGAUGGCCACCCAGCCCUUGCGAGUAAAAUAUGGCUCACUUAAAGACAUUUCAGUCCUAAAUCAUGCACAGCAGGCGAGUUUGUGGGCUGAGCGGCUUGCACAAAAACAUUCCUUUGGGACCAUUUAAAAAGGCUGAAUAAGCAAGGAAUCCUGUGUGACAAUGCUCAGAAUACCAAAGGAGCGGUUCAGGUAUACAUAUUAUUGCCCGUGGCUCGAAGCCCAAUAACCUUUUCCUUAUUGAGAUAGAUUCCCUGGACAGAAAACAAAUCCUUUCCAAGUUAGAGAACUUUAUCAGAUUUAUUUCUCAUUGUCAGGUCAGCAUGCAGGAAACAAAUGAAGUCUGUCGCGUGAUUCAUAUUAGAAGGAGAGCAAUUUAUAGUGCUCACUGGCUUCUCACAAACCUUAUUAAUGUUUGGCAUAGGGUGCCAAGGAAUCAUAAAGAAUCAUCCUGUUGAGCAUUUAUAUCUGCUUAGUCUCUGAUUAUAUGUCCUCGACACAGCUUAAAUAAUGGCAGACAGAGCAUCUCGUGAGCAGGAAAUGAGAAAGUAACACAUGUUUUUGUCUCAUAUUCAAAUAUUCUUCCCUAUCUUUUUAAAGUCUUCCCCUGGGAGGCAAAGAACUGUUUUUAGGUUUCAUUUUUCCUUAAGCUGUUGCUGCUCUUGCCUGUAAUUUCCACUUUGUUUAGAUUUGUCACAGCCCUAAAAUGGAAUUAAGUUGCUUAUUUAUGCUCAUGUCUUUUGUUAUUUUGAAUUUGGGGCAUUUCUUACUUCAGUCAUGGCUAUAUAGUUGCUCCACUUCACAUUCCCUUUUGAAUUCUAGCCCCUUGUGCCUUUGUGAUGUGAACUCAUUAAGGAUAGUGCCAACUUAUUUAUGAAGUUCUUAACAUAUUUGACCUAAUAAUACUAAUAGAUGGCAUUUGUUCAAUGCCACCUAUGUGGCACAUAAAAUAUAAAUGUAUGUGCCAGGCACCUUACAUUUAUACUUUAUGUAAUCAUCAUAACAACCUCAUGAGGUAAGUAGUAUUAUCACACUCAUUUUAGAGAUCAGUUACCCUGGGAUACAGUGCUACUAAACAGAAGAGCUGGAAAUUGCACCCCAACAAUCCACUCUUCACUGAGCUGCACUCCUUCUCUAGAACAUUAAUUUAUAGUUCAUUGAAUGUGGUGCUCUAGAAAACAUGAGCAUAACAAAGAGAGAAGAGAGGAGGAAAAUGGGAAGAAAUAAGGUUAAAUGUAGAAAGAUGGACAGCAUGACAUUCUACCAGCAAUUGAUCUGAGGGACUAUUAGUUGUACAACUGGCUCUUGAAUUUAAUUGGCUUCUCAGGUGCCUUGCUAAUGGCUAGUGAUGUGGAUGGGUCAUUUGACCCUUCUGAUACCUGAAAAGGACACUCUUCUACUAUAUGGAAUUAAUCGUUUGGUAAUUUUUUAUUUUGAAAUAAUUUUAGACUCUCCAAAAAGUUACGAGUACAGGGAACUUCCAUAUCCCUCCAACUAUAAUAUCCUAAUUGUUAAUGUUUUACCACAUUUAUUUUUAUAAUUUUCUCUCUAUAUAGACACUUAUUAUUUUAUGAAUCAUUUGAGAAUAAGUUGCAUGCUCAAAUACUUUGGUGUGUGUUUUCUAAGAAAAAGUAAAUUCUCAUAUACCCACAUUAUAAUUAUUGCAAUCAGAAAACUAAUACUGAUUCAAUGCUAACAUCUAAAGUACAAACUUGUAUUUCACCAGUUGUCCCAAUGAAAAGGUUUUGGGAGGGGAUGUUCAGGGACCAAUCAAAUUACAUGUUGCAGUUAGUUGUCUCUUUAGUCUCUUUUAGUCUGGAACAGUUUCUCUUUGUGAUUUUUCAUUUUGACAUUUUUAGAAAGGGUAUAUAGGUCAACUGUCUUUCAGACUGUCUCUCAAUUUGAGUUUGCCUGAUGCUUCCUCAUGAUUGCACCGAAGUUACACCCUUUGGGCAGGAAUGACACUGAAGUGAUGCUAUGUUCUCAGUGCAUCAUACCAGGAUGCACCUCAUGCUAAUUUGUCCAGCUAUUGGUGAUGUUAACAGAUUGCUCUAAUGUAAGGCUACAAUUUUUCAAUGUACUAAAGUUAAAAUUUGAUUUAGAUUCUAAUUUCCUCAGAAUUGGGUUCAAAUCAAGUCCAUUGCUUAAGAAGCUUUGGGUAUUCUGAAAAAGCUAACUUCCUGAUCUGUAAGUAUCAGGAUCAGUCAUGGAAAGUGGUGCCUGGCACAUACAUUUAUAUUUUAUGUGCCACAUAGGUGGCAUUGAACAAAUGUCAUCUAUUAGUAUUAUUAGGUCAAAUAUGUUGAGAACCUCAUGUAAGUAUUGCUUAAUGUCUUGGGACAUUAAGCAGACACAGGAACUUGGUACUCUAACUCCAGGGAACAAACCAGAAAAUGGCAGAAUUAUUGUACAAGACCAGGUCUGGGUUGGCACCAAGCAUGACUUGAAGAAGGCACCAAGGAUGGGGCUAGAAAGCUAGUUAAACUUUUAGCCUCAAAUCUGGCUGGGUCUGAGAGACUGAGGAAGAGAAUCAGAAGAUUUCAGCUGGCGGAGAAGCAGGGCACAGUGUGUGGACUGAGCUUGAUGGCAUGAUCAGCUGAUGCUGCUAAAGACCUGAGACUCUUAAUCAGCAACUGUGCAAUCAGCAAUAGCAGUUGUACCCACCUUAUCUGCUAUGGAGGCAUUAUUAUUGGCUUUUUUGGGGGGCAUUUAAUGAAAAUUUCUUGCUUUCAAGGUUAUUCUUCAACUAUACAUCACUUGGGCAGUGCUGAGAAACACAUAGGAUGAUUUGGCCUGGGCUCCAUAUCCUUCCCAGGAAUAUCUUAAGACUGAGAAAUAUGGUCUCUUUUCCAUACCUCCAAGUUGCUUUUACAUGGAUGAAGAGAAUCAGAAUGCUCAGUGAAAUAUGUAUUCAAAAAGAAAUGUACCAGAAUAAAAUUACAUUAGAAAAUAAUUGCUUCUAAAAAUCAUCACCCAUUCUUACCCUCUGUUAUUCUGUUCUCUUUCAACUGUCUGUAUUUUAAUCCCUUUCUUCUUCCCUGAUGUUUUCUAUUCAUUUAAUUUAAGCAAUGUUUCUGGAUACCAUAGCAAUAGCAAUGAGGUGUUGUAUAAACGUACAAUGGAGCAGAAUGGAAAUGCUUCCUAUGGUAACAGAAACCAUAGAAACAUGUGCGUGUGUGUGUGUGCAUGUGCGUGCACACACACGUGCAUACAAAGCUGUUUUGGGGUCAAAGCUUUGUAGAGUUCAUGCAACUAGGAAAAUGAAGUGUUUCACUGUGAUCACAUUGCUAUUUGUAUCUAUUGUCAUCAUGAUUUAACAUUUAUUGCAUGCCUAUAGUCCCCUGGACAGACCCUGGAACUAGAUGUCAACUCUACUUAGUGGAUUUAUGUUUGAAAUUAGAUAGCAAAGCCACAAAAUGGAAAAAGAUGAGAAUACUUCCAAAACAGAAAUAUUGAAUAAUGCAUUUUCAGAAAAAUUAGGUAAGGAGAAAAUGAGUUUGACCCAGGCAGUUAGGAAUGAAGGAUAUGGGAGGAGACUUAAAUGUCUAGAUUAGAGAUGGUUUGCAGCCAUUUCCAAGAACCCUGGGAGGGACUGCUUGUGCUGCAUGAUCUAACACUUUAAUCCUCUUCUGCCAUGGCUCAGACCCCAUGGGGUGGAAUCUUGAUGAGGAGACUCCCUGUCUUGGAUAAUAAUAACAAGCUGUCUUCUCUGUAGGCAAAUUUUCAGGUGGAAGUCUCACUCUACCACUCUCAUAACCAAUGCAACAAAUAAUCAAGUUCUCAAGCUGCAAGGAAAACUGAGGGGAUUAUUUUUAAGGAUGUAAAGAACAUUAAACAAUGAAGAGAUAGUUUCUCAGAGUAAGUUUUUUCCCUCCUUUGCCAGGUGCCUGAUAUCAUCUUUCUUGUCUACCUUAGACACCCCCCACACUUUUUAAUAUUAAAAGUCUCUUAAUAACAAAAGUAAACAGCAUGUUAUUUAUGGAAACUGCACAACAUUAGCUUUGCUAAUUACAUGGUUACUCACUUUCCCAGCACCAGAUCACCUCUUAUUUGUUUCCAACUACUGUGGCCACCAUGUGUUUUAAGUGUAAGACAGAAAUAAUAAACUGCAGGUUUCCAGGGUACUCACGUAUUAUUUCUGCAGUUCACACAGGACAUGUACCAUCUGGGUUUGAAGGGCACAUCAUUCCAAGGCGGAAUGGAGUGAGUAGGGCUUUCCCAGUAGAGCCACUGACUCUAUGGGGAAAUUUCAAAUGGAGUUUUGGGGUCAGAGAGACCUAAGUUCAGAUGCCUGGCACAAUAACUUCCCACUUACAUGAAAUCUUCUUUGCCUUCUCUGUAAGUAACUUCUCUGCCUCUUGGCUUACUGUAUAUAAAUUGGGUAUAUGAUGCCUAAUUUCUAGUGUGGCUCUGAAUCUUAAAUGAGGUGAUACAAUAUGGCACUUGCCGUAAGGUAAGUUAUUACUGAAUGAUGGUCUUAGUUUCUUUCUACUCCAUUUCUGUCUCUUCUAAACUCCUAAGAACUAAGCUGAGAAGGCAUAAAAGAUGACACACAGACCAUUCAGCUCAAAAUCCAGAAUAAGAAGCCCAAACUGGAGUAUAUUCUGCAGAAGAUUUGCUGUCUUAAGGGAGCUACUAUUAGCUCAGCUUUAACCCUCCUUCCCAUCUCUUUCUGGUUAGUGAACUGGUGCCACCACCUGCCCAUUAGAGAACCUGAGCUAUUUGUUCAGUGAUUCACGUCUCUGGAUUCAGCACUGAGCCUGCAUAAACUCCCAACUCAGUCAGCAACACUGUGCUAACAUCUACUAGGAAUGGUUCAGUCCCUGUAGAUCUGAGAAAUAAUUCCUGUGGUUACAUCAACUGUUUGGAUCUUUGGAUCCAUAAAUUAUUUCUGUCUUUUCUUUUUUGAAGGGUUUUCUAUUUGAAUGCUGUUUUAUCUCAAAAGGCAGUUGGUUCCAUUCUGACAUGGUAGAGAUAUGAAGCUUCCUUCAACUGACACAGUUUGGCUAGAUGCCAGUCAGGAGUACCUCCAAGAUAUUUUGGCUGUAGGAUAAGUUACAGAUAGCCUGGCCUUGCCAUCUGCAAUGAUCGGUUGUAGUAAUAACAAUCUCUGGGUGCACAAUUAACCAAUUCUGAAAAUGUGAAACUUAUUAAUUAUCCUGCAUUUUUGCUUGGCUGCUAGCUAACUCUGUCUAGAUCCUGUUUCUUGGCAUUCUCUCAUCUGUCAUUUCUACCACAAAUCCCCUACAGAUCGUUAGUUGCCUAUGUUCCUCUACUUCAUUGUCUUUCUUUCAGUCAUUGACUGUUACUGAGAUUUUUUUUUUCAUGAAAUCAGAGUUUUAGUAUUCUUUUUUUAUUAUAGGGAAAAGAAACCAAGUCUCCUUGAAUCAGUUUAUCCCAAUGUCUUCUGGUUUUCUAUGUUGGCUACAGUCAAGAUAACCUAUUACUAAGGUAGGUUGUGUGUUUCUAGACCACCAAAUCUGUUCAAUAGACCUUUUUGCAUCUGAGUGGACAGGUCCUAGAUGACACUGGAGACAUAGAGGUGAACUCCCUCCCUGGCCUUCAGGUACUCACAUUGCAUUUGGGAACCUAGGCAUUAAGCAAACAACCAUGAUACAAUGUGCUAAGUGCUAUCACUAAAGUAUAAACAAAGUGGUUUGAGGGGCGUUAUGUUCCCCCAUAUUGACCUGAAGCUGUAGUAUUUUGACUGCUUCUAGAGUACCUGUAUGUCUCUGCAUGUCCAGGCAGUCUGAUUUAUUAACAGGGCCCUCUUUUAAUCUUGGAGUCUCUAUGUGGAUGAUAAACUGUAUGGUCUUUCUAUUUAUAAAUCAAAAACCAAUAUAGGAGGCUAGUUUAAUUUGUGAGCAAAUAUGUUUCUAUUUAUUAAGAAUUCUUGAGUUGCCUGCCUCUACAUUAGUGGUUGAGGCAGUGGAGUGAGUUCCUGAUCUGACUCACCUUUCUCACCAACAGUGAUACUUGUACUUUAGCAUAUACAUGAGAGACUGAGUUGAUUCUAUAGCCUAACUGGAAUUUAUUCAUUCCUUCAUCCAUCUACUCAAUGAAUCAAUUCUACAUUUACUGAGCACUGAUUGUGUGUCAGCCAAUCUACUAGGCACGUGGGAUACAGUGAUGAUCUAUAUAGAUAUAUCUCUGCCCCCACAGAACUUACAGAGUGGAGCCUCAAAAAGUGAUUUCAAUUUUAUCCAUCUGCUUUGUGUCUUCUCUUUAAAUCCUUGCUACCCAAAGUAGGCUCUCAAUAUUAGCAGCAUCAGUGUCACCCAGAAGCUUGUUAGAAAUGGAGAACUUAGGCCCACCUCACACCUAUUGAAUCUGAAUCUGCAGUUUCAAAAGAUCCUCAAUAAUCUGAGCAGAUUCUGAUUCAGUUGGUCUAGGGUCUUCACUUCUGACAAACUCGCAGGCAAUGUCAAUGCUGUUGGUCCAUGGAUCGCACUUUAAGGGACUUCCCCAGUUCUUUACAAAAUGUGGGUUGCAACCCAAUAGUGGGUCAUGAAAUCAAUAUAGUGAGUUGUAACUAGCACAUUCAAAAAUAUUUUAAAAUAGGAUAGAGUACACAAACAAUUCAGAGUGCAUUUCAUGUCAUGAUGAAGGCAUUGUUGCAUGAAACUUGAAUCAGCUUUUUGUACAUCUGCACACAGACACAAACACAGAUGUAUGUAGACUGAGUUCUGAUGAAAACGUAUUUCUUAAUACGGGUCGCAGCUGAUAACAGUUUGAAAGUUAUUGUUCUAGACAAGCUUAUCUAGGCCAGAAAGAAGUCCUCAGAAGUGAUUCCAGUCUAGAACAGAGAGCUCAGAUCAAAGGGGUUCUGUUAAUAUUAGAACUAUCCAGAAUCCCAGUGAGGACAUCCAGGAAAAAGUAGAACAGUGGGGCUAGAAAGAUCCUCUACUAGGGGUGACAGCUGUGUGCUGAUUGGAUGAUGAGAUGCCCAUGAUUAGUGGCUUGUACCAGUUGGCAUUAGGUUUUUGCAUGACCCAAGAUUUUGGACUGUGAGCUCCUUGAAGGUGGGACCUGUAUGUUACUCCUAGAGGCUAAAACAGUGCCUUUCCCGCAGGGGGAGUUUCCGCAGUGUACUGUGACUUUUUAUAUCUUUCAUACUACUCAAUAUACCACAUGUAACAAAUGAGGUCUUUUCUGUCUUUCCACUGGGAAUCAUGUAUUAUUCAUCUUUGCUUUUUUCUAGGGCCUACUCCAAUAUCUAGAGAUGGCAGAUAUUCAAGUCAUGAUUUAAAGCUUCAAGCAUAUGAUUAUGAGAUGGUGGUUCUCAACAUUUACCACAACCUCCCAGCAAACCACACAGCAGUCAACUCUCAAGAUUUCUUCCAGGAGGGUAAAGGGAUUUUUCUCUUCACAUGCCAUCCAACUCCAUGGGAAAACAUUAGCAGUGACAAAUGACUCUGGAUGAAUGCUUGAAUCCGAGGUCAUAGAUAUAAAUUACAAUUCUGGCCCUCAUUCACCCUCACAUAGCUUUCUGGCAUCCUUUCCCAUUCUCUGAACAUGAGAGGAAUGAGAAGGUUAUUUGGAAGGUCGCUGAUCUUAGGAGUUGUCCUGCUACAGUUACCGGAGAAUCUUGAAUUUCAUCUGAAAAGACUGCAAGGCAGUCGGGGCAAGCAUGCUAUGAGAAGUCAACUGGUAAGCAGACCCCAGAGAUGAGAAGCAUAUGGGAAGCCAACCCCAUGAUUUGCUUCCUUAAAAAGUAUGGGCUGUGGAUGGAUUUUAAAUCCUACUCUAAAUACAAGACUGGUGUUAGCGGUUGUUUGCAGGAAAACCAAAGGAACUUAGCAUCCUUCAGUGUGUUACAGAGACUGUGUGGCCUCAAGCAGUGAAGUGAAGAAUUCUUUUUGUCUUUUUCCUCAUAUGCCCAACCUGGAAACCAGCAGAAUUUUUGAUGGUGCAUCUGGUUCCUGGUGUGCUGCAGAAGUGAUUAGUGUGUCAUGUCACUGUGGCCUCUUUCUCUGCCCCAGGAGAAUGUCUGGGGAACAGAAGAGCAGAGUCCUGCCUGGGAUCAUGUGGGUGGGGGAGCUAUUCCUUCUCAACAGAUAGUGUGAGAAGCACUGAUCCAAGGUCCUGGCUGCUCAAAGUGUGUUCCUAGGAGCUUGCUGGACAUGCAGAAUCUCAAGUUCCAUCCCAGAACCUGAUGUUUUUAUUUGGAGCACUGGCCUUGGCAACACAUGUUCCUUCCUCACCUUUCUGCAGCCUCUCACUCCCCACUGUCGCCCACUCCUCAUAGGCUAUCCUCAGGAAUGGCAUUGGUGGAGUGUUGGUGAAGGUGUAGCUGCAAGCAUUCUGAUCUUUAUUUUACAAACUCUAAACCCAGAAGACUCCAAACCCAGAAAAGUCUAAGUCACAGAAAGCAAAGGAACAGUCUUAUUUCAGACACAUCUACAGUCUUUGCUGGUUAAAUGUCAGGAAGCCCACAAAAAGCUGCCAGACAUUUCAGGGUAUGAAUUUCGUAUCUGUACUUCUUGACAUCUGCUGGGCUACCAUGCCCUUCAAUUUACCAAAAUAUGGAAAUUUCCUUAUGGCAUUCUACCCAAAUAAUGAGGAAAAUGUUGAUGCUUCUCUCAGCCUCAGGACCUUAAAGCCACACUGUUCCUAACCACGCUUGCCUAUAUGGCACUUAGCACUUUACACAAAAAACAAACAGAGGUGUUUAUUCCCUGGCAGUUAAUAUAAAUGCUUUCUGUUUUGUAAAAUAGGAACAGUAUUUGAUUCCAUUAUCACAGAUCUCUUGUGGACAAGUCAAAAUUCUUCAAUUAAGGUUAUAUCUAGUUAAAGGAAUUUUUCUCUUUGGUCUACAUCCCCACCCUGAAUGUCCUUGCCUGUUAGUUCCUUGCAGGUGAAAGGUAAAAAACCUUUGCAACUUCAUGCUAUAAUUGUGCCUUUGAAUUUUCAGAGGAAAAGACAGUGAGAGAGCAAGAGCAGAUUGAGAAGCAGAAGAGUGAGUCGCAAAAAGAGAAAAUGACAGAAAUGGAGCACCCUGGUGAGUCCCAACCACAUCCAUUCUUGAUGAUAACAACCAAAGCUCAGAAAAUGAUUUCUUACAGAAUGUUGUAUCAAAAGGAGCAUAUUGUAUGUGCAAAGUUGCUGCAGCUUUCCUAAGUUGGCUUCAAACUAUCCAACUAUGAUGUUAACAUAUUACCUUCAGCCAGUAUGAUACACAUAUUGGAAUGUUUUGUAUCAUUGACUACUUUUCCUGUGUCUGUCCACUCUACUGUUUCAAACCCCUGGUACUGGGACAGUGAUUGAACCCAGGUAUUCUUGUCAAUAAUAGUUGGAGGGGCUUAGCAAUAGAUCAAGGUAUAGAAGAAUUAAACCUGCUAUAGCUUGAUCUACUUUGAGAUUAGAGUGUACAGGGUCCUCUCCAACCUGACACACUUGGCCCUUUUCUGACAUAGGUUUAGUAAGUUUUGUGUGCAUUUGUAGAUAUUUUUUCAUUCCUAGGGGUUUGGCUUCAUUGAGAUGUGAGUUGUGGAGCCAAAAUACCAGAGAGGCUGACUGUUUUUGUAGCAAGAGUUAGUUUAUUUUGUGGUUGGGUUUGAAAAAGAAAAAGCUAAAAACUGCCCUCAAAUAUCUGAUUUAGCUGAUUGCUAGGUUAUCUAAAUCAACUUGAAAACUUUGGAUAAGCAUUAUUCAAACACUAAAGGCAACAAAAGUCUAUUUCAUUAUGUUUGCUCUGAUACCUAGCUUCCCGGCUGACUUCUUUUCCAGUUCCUUUCAUCCUUUCACAAACCUGAGGAAUGAACAUACAGAAAAGGCAUUUUACUUAGUUACUAUUAGAAAGCAUGAAUAUCAUCAACUCAUAUAUCUUUAUUCAGUUUAGUACUCUGCAGACAUCCUUGUUGGAUAUUUUAUUCUGGGAUUGUUAGAACUAAAGUUAGCCUUAAUGACUUAAAGCAAUGAUUUUCAUAAAUUUCUCCUGAAAUGAUGUUUUGGUACAAAAUGCCCUGAAAAUGAUUUAACUAUAGAUAACACUGAGAAUUUUACUUACUGCUGCUCAUCAGAAAGACACCCUGGGUCUCCUUUCCCUCUCUCCACCCCUUAUCCCCUUUCUCAGAGAUUAAUUGAGGAAACAUUUAAAAAAGUUUUCAGUUUUGGUUAGGAAAUAACAUCAUUAAGCAAGUUUUGCUGGGUGAUGUGUAAUCACUGAAACGCCAAUUUGUUCAGGAAGCAGGAAUUAACACCUUUGCUCUAGUGAAAAAGAAAUUGGUACAAGACUUUAAGGAAGUCAAAAUGAUGAAGUUUGGAUUAAGCUCUUAGCAGGAAAGGCAAAGGCCACAGUGAAAGCAAUCCUGAGCUGGCCAGCCCUGUAAACAACUGCUAGCCCCUGGUUAAGUGUCUUUUUCUUUUGACAUAGAGAAGUUAAAAUAUAGUGCAAUUUAAUAUAGUCAGCACACUUCACCCUAAAAUCCAAUCAAUUUAUUAAAGAAAAAAAGGUCCAUUCAACCCAGCCAUUAUACAUGACUCUAUAGUUCUUGGAAAUAACUAUAGUCAGCUCUGGAAACAGAAAACUAAUCCAACUGACCACUUGAGGGAGGUGGUGGGUUAUCUUGUCUAGAAAAAGGACCUCAGUUCCUUCUUUGUAGUGUGCAAUUUUAAGAACUUUGAAUACCUCCUGUGACCUAUGGGUAAAAUGAGAUCACAGGAACCCAGACAAUGGCCUUUUCUCCACUUGGAUCUAUAAUCUAAUUUUCCUAUAAAGUAAGGGGAAUAAAAUAGAUUUACAGAACACUUGUGAUGGUCUAGCUGAUGGAUCACUUUAAAAAGAGAGAAAGAGGCAAAGUAUGGGUAGUUUAUUUUCACAAAUCAGUUUUAGUUUUUUUCUAUGAAAUUAAUGAACAAGAAGCCCAUUAAAAUGAUUGUUACAAUUCUUCUUUUUAAUUGUUUACUCUAUUAAGGUGACAAUACUUGACAGCUUGAUAUAUGAACAGUGUUCACUUGCCCAACAUAAACAUCAAUUAUAACAUGAAAAUGCGAUGGUCCUUCAACCCUUCAUUCACUCAUCCAGGUUAAAUGCAGAAUUUGGAAAGAAACCAAAAUUAAAGUUAAUUUUACCUAGACUUCAACAGAUGUUUUUUAACAAGAAAAAAAAAAACAAAGAAAUUGUGGCUGAAGAAAAGUUAGCUGAGAUGAAGAGUAAAAUGGGUCAUGUAGGAACAAAGUCAUUGUAUUUCAUCAGAGUCAAGAAAAUUAUUAAUUAUUGAAAUGGGAAAUCAAAUCAUUAAAGUAUGAAUACCAUUGGCUCUCUGAUUUCUUCUUUCCCAGGUAUCAUAAAAUAUGCUUGAACUUGGGUUAAUUCCUCUUGGACUGAAUUGUAGUGCCAUAAACCAAGCUUUUCAAAAAGAUUGGAUGCAAAACUAUUAUGGCAACAGGAAUUUUUAUCAACAUAAAGCAGGAUUUAAUGCAGAUAAAUCUUCUGAUGGAUUCCCACCUGAACCUGAUCCUAAUUCCAGAAACACAAAGCCUGGAUUCUUUGUGUUCACUACAUUUAUUCUGUCUUUCCAUGAGCUAAGGCUGUAAAUCCCACAGUGAAGCAUGCAUAAACACCAACUAGACGGGAUUAGACCACACUAUUUAGUUAAUCUCAGUUUACAAAAGCUCUUCUUUCUUUGUCUGAAAGGCUGCCACAGAAAUCCAGCAAACGUGAGAAUGUCUUGCACUAUGGGUAGUGAGAGGGUAAAAAUAACUGCUUGCCUUCAUGAGCCCUCUCUCUCUUUGAGAAACUCUAUGUAUAUUUUCAGGGUGAAGGAUUUCUACUGUAAAUGCUUCAAAUCAUCAUCAUGGGGGAGAAGAGCACAGCAGUAUUUCCUUCCAAAAUGUAAGCAGCACAACCUUCCAAGAACCUUGAUGUGUAGUUAAAACGACCAUGAAGGGAGCCUCCCCUGAUCUCUGUCCUCCAAUUUAUUGCUCUCUCUCAUGUUUGAAAGGUUUGUUUUGGAUCCAGUGACAAUAAUACUGGUAGGACUAUAACUAAAGUACUUUGAGUCCUAGGAGGAGGAACAAAGAAUGUUUUUCUAUAAUAUGUUAACAUAACUGGACAUCCAUUAAAUAAUUGGUGUGUAGCUGGAAGUAAAAAUGGCUUAAACAGAGAAAAGUUUCUAUAACAGCUGUGAACACAAAGCCAACAAAGGACUUGAGGGACAAACACUUCUAAUAUGCUCGCAGAAUCACCUGAUGUCAUGAGCACCUGCUUUAUACAAAAACCACUGUGGCAGAAGCAUCUAUGUGUAUACUUAGGGUAACAAACAUUCCAUUUCAAUUUUGAAUUUAAAUAAAAGAUGCUCUAGUCUGUUUUUUUCUUCCAAUCUCAGGCUCAGGCUCUGCAGACAUCUCUUUGAAUCUCCCAAAAGAUCAUGUUUGCUUUGGUCGAAGAUUAGAUAUUCACCCCAGUGUUCACAUACUUUGUCCUCCCAAGCUGGAACAACUUGAGCUUUCAGAGUCCAAAUGUGUUAGACUCAUCCAGGGCUCUUGAAGUCAGUAUUCAAAUGCUAGCACUAUAAAUUAUAGAAUUUAGUUUGUCACAAAUUAAAACUUUAUUUCAGUGAAAACAGUGACUGUCACUUGUAUAUAUUUGGUCACUGUAAAUCUGCUGUAAACCAAAAGAGAAACUAAAACUAGCAAAGGGUGGUGAUGGUGGCAGCGGUAGUGGCAGAGGGACAUGCUAAUGUAUGUCUUGAAGUCUGUUUUCCUAGAAUCCCAAGCUACAUUGGUUGGUAAUAAAUAAUGUGGUUAAAGAAGGCAGAUUCUAAGAUAGAAUUUUGGACCUGGAUCACCUGUAGCCUGCCUAGCAAUGAAGACCUCAUCAGUGGUGAUAGAUGGAGAACAGAUACACCUUGGAACCAGAGUCCACCACGGAGAAGAUGCCCUAUACGUGUAUGUAAAAUGCUGAAUUAAAUAACAUUGUUUAACCAUUUUGCCAGCCACAGAAAUAAACUAACUUAAACUCA